ACGAACGCUGGCGGCGUGCCUAAUACAUGCAAGUUGAGCGAUGAAGAUUGUUGCUUGCACCAAUUUGAAGAGCAGCGAACUGUUGAGUAACGCGUUGGUAAUCUGCCUUUGAGCUGUGGACAACAUUUGGAAACGAAUGCUAAUACCGCAUAAUCACUUUAAACAUAAGUUUUAAGUUUGAAAGAUGCAAUUGCAUCACUCAAAGAUGAUCCCUCGUUGUAUUAGCUAUUUGGUGAGGUAAAGGCUCACCAAGGCGAUGAUACAUAGCCGACCUGAGAGGGUGAUCGGCCACAUUGGGACUGAGACACGGCCCAAACUCCUACGGGAGGCAGCAGUAGGGAAUCUUCGGCAAUGGACGAAAGUCUGACCGAGCAACGCCGCGUGAGUGAAGAAGGUUUUCGGAUCGUAAAACUCUGUUGGUAGAGAAGAACGUUGGUGAGAGUGGAAAGCUCAUCAAGUGACGGUAACUACCCAGAAAGGGACGGCUAACUACGUG
This 496-nucleotide ribosomal RNA is filed under the name uncultured bacterium. RNAcentral's name for it is "partial 16S ribosomal RNA". It matches the Rfam family "Bacterial small subunit ribosomal RNA", at positions 29 to 507 of the family's 1533-position model. The record is from RNAcentral.